RNAcentral lists this ribosomal RNA (297 nucleotides) under uncultured bacterium KC118. RNAcentral's name for it is "partial 16S rRNA". It matches the Rfam family "Bacterial small subunit ribosomal RNA", at positions 215 to 504 of the family's 1533-position model. The record is from RNAcentral. Lineage: Bacteria; Pseudomonadati; Pseudomonadota; Gammaproteobacteria.
GCGCUGAUGGAUGAGCUCGCGUCGGAUUAGCUUGUUGGUGAGGUAAAGGCUCACCAAGGUGACGAUCCGUAGCUGGUCUGAGAGGAUGAUCAGCCACACCGGGACUGAGACACGGCCCGGACUCCUACGGGAGGCAGCAGUGGGGAAUCUUGGACAAUGGGGGCAACCCUGAUCCAGCCAUGCCGCGUGUGUGAAGAAGGCCUUCGGGUUGUAAAGCACUUUCAGCAGGGAGGAAGGCUUACCCCUAAUACGGGUGAGUACUUGACGUUACCUGCAGAAGAAGCACCGGAUAAUUCG